RNAcentral lists this non-coding RNA (45 nucleotides) under Schistosoma mansoni. Lineage: Eukaryota; Metazoa; Platyhelminthes; Trematoda; Strigeidida; Schistosomatidae. The record is from RNAcentral.
AUCCAGCUGACCAGUCCCAAAUGGGGUGAAACGAUCGUCCUGGAU